This 433-nucleotide ribosomal RNA is filed under the name uncultured bacterium. Its description in RNAcentral is "partial 16S ribosomal RNA". It matches the Rfam family "Bacterial small subunit ribosomal RNA", at positions 29 to 507 of the family's 1533-position model. The record is from RNAcentral.
AACGAACGCUGGCGGCAUGCCUAACACAUGCAAGUCGAACGAGACCUUCGGGUCUAGUGGCGCACGGGUGCGUAACGCGUGGGAACCUGCCCUUAGGUUCGGAAUAACUCCCCGAAAGGGGUGCUAAUACCGGAUAAUGUCUUCGGACCAAAGAUUUAUCGCCUUUGGAUGGGCCCGCGUUGGAUUAGCUAGUUGGUAGGGUAAAAGCCUACCAAGGCGACGAUCCAUAGCUGGUCUGAGAGGAUGAUCAGCCACACUGGGACUGAGACACGGCCCAGACUCCUACGGGAGGCAGCAGUGGGGAAUAUUGGACAAUGGGCGAAAGCCUGAUCCAGCAAUGCCGCGUGAGUGAUGAAGGCCUUAGGGUUGUAAAGCUCUUUUACCCGGGAUGAUAAUGUCAGUACCGGGAGAAUAAGCGCCGGCUAACUCCGUG